UAUUGUUAGUUGCCAGCAUUAAGUUGGGCACUCUAGCAAGACUGCCGGUGACAAACCGGAGGAAGGUGGGGAUGACGUCAAAUCAUCAUGCCCCUUAUGACCUGGGCUACACACGUGCUACAAUGGACGGUACAACGAGUCGCAAGACCGCGAGGUUUAGCAAAUCUCUUAAAGCCGUUCUCAGUUCGGAUUGUAGGCUGCAACUCGCCUACAUGAAGUCGGAAUCGCUAGUAAUCGCGGAUCAGCAUGCCGCGGUGAAUACGUUCCCGGGCCUUGUACACACCGCCCGUCACACCAUGAGAGUUUGUAACACCCAAAGCCGGUGGGGUAACCUUUUGGAGCCAGCCGUCUAAGGUGGGACAGAUGAUUGGGGUGAAGUCGUAACAAGGUAGCCGUAGGAGAACCUGCGGCUGGAUCACCUCCUUUCUAAGGA
RNAcentral lists this ribosomal RNA (433 nucleotides) under Campylobacter jejuni. RNAcentral describes it as "bacterial SSU rRNA". It matches the Rfam family "Bacterial small subunit ribosomal RNA", at positions 1106 to 1533 of the family's 1533-position model. Lineage: Bacteria; Pseudomonadati; Campylobacterota; Epsilonproteobacteria; Campylobacterales; Campylobacteraceae. The record is from RNAcentral.